Molecule: non-coding RNA, 46 nt
Organism: Struthio camelus australis
Lineage: Eukaryota; Metazoa; Chordata; Aves; Struthioniformes; Struthionidae
Source: Rfam
CCAAAGGCUCUUUUAAGAGCCACACACGUUUUCCUUUAAAGAGCUU